RNAcentral lists this ribosomal RNA (657 nucleotides) under Salmonella enterica. Its description in RNAcentral is "bacterial SSU rRNA". It matches the Rfam family "Bacterial small subunit ribosomal RNA", at positions 1 to 649 of the family's 1533-position model. The record is from RNAcentral. Lineage: Bacteria; Pseudomonadati; Pseudomonadota; Gammaproteobacteria; Enterobacterales; Enterobacteriaceae. RNAcentral also lists the same sequence under 1 other name.
AAAUUGAAGAGUUUGAUCAUGGCUCAGAUUGAACGCUGGCGGCAGGCCUAACACAUGCAAGUCGAACGGUAGCACAGAGAGCUUGCUCUCGGGUGACGAGUGGCGGACGGGUGAGUAAUGUCUGGGAAACUGCCCGAUGGAGGGGGAUAACUACUGGAAACGGUAGCUAAUACCGCAUAACGUCGCAAGACCAAAGUGGGGGACCUUCGGGCCUCACACCAUCGGAUGUGCCCAGAUGGGAUUAGCUAGUAGGUGGGGUAACGGCUCACCUAGGCGACGAUCCCUAGCUGGUCUGAGAGGAUGACCAGCCACACUGGAACUGAGACACGGUCCAGACUCCUACGGGAGGCAGCAGUGGGGAAUAUUGCACAAUGGGCGCAAGCCUGAUGCAGCCAUGCCGCGUGUAUGAAGAAGGCCUUCGGGUUGUAAAGUACUUUCAGCGAGGAGGAAGGCGUUGUGGUUAAUAACCACAGCGAUUGACGUUACUCGCAGAAGAAGCACCGGCUAACUCCGUGCCAGCAGCCGCGGUAAUACGGAGGGUGCAAGCGUUAAUCGGAAUUACUGGGCGUAAAGCGCACGCAGGCGGUUUGUUAAGUCAGAUGUGAAAUCCCCGGGCUCAACCUGGGAACUGCAUUUGAAACUGGCAGGCUUGAGUCU